Molecule: long non-coding RNA, 617 nt
Organism: Antechinus flavipes (yellow-footed antechinus)
Lineage: Eukaryota; Metazoa; Chordata; Mammalia; Dasyuromorphia; Dasyuridae
Exons: 4
Source: RefSeq, a predicted model, not a curated record
UAUACUAAAAGAAGAAUUGGGAAAGAGGCUUGCGCUUAGUUUAGGCACUGCCUGUGACAGCCUCACGCUUCAAGGUCUUUUCCCUCCUCGUCCACUUUCCUGAGGCUUUAAAUAGCCGUUUCGUUAAGGUUAAAGUCUUUUCUUCUUCAUGGCCUCCUCUCGAUUUUGUGAUGCAGCCUGGACUUUGUGCCAUGGCCGCCGAGCCCGCGCUCGCGAUUCAGUCCCCGGCCAAUGCUCGGUGGGUUGAUCAGGAAGGGAAAAUGAGUAGAAUGAGGAGUUUUUCGGCAGUGUAGGCCUUUGGAGCAUGGGUUUUUCCCCCCACACUCGGUUGCCACCCGGACCGUGGAAGUGACUAGAUCGCUGGACUUAGGACCCACGCAACAGAGGGCACCCGUAGGGAAUUUAAGCAACAGAUUCUACUUCAACACAGGAAAGGGUCCUCAUCUUGUUUGUGGUACAGUGUUGCAGAUGUUUCAGAUCCAAGAAACCAAGAGUUUUUCUACGUGGAUCACUGCUCAAAUUGGGUGGCAAGCAAACAGUUGGAUGUUUGUUUUUUUUUUUCUUUUAUUCAAUCUCUUGUUUUUUGUAUUGAAGUAAAGUUUUUAUAAGACCUGCCA